GCGGCGUGCCUAACACAUGCAAGUCGAACGGAGAAUUUCAAUAAGCUUGCUUAGAGAAAUUCUUAGUGGCGGACGGGUGAGUAACGCGUGGGUAACCUACCCAUAAAGCCGGGACAACCCUUGGAAACGAGGGCUAAUACCGGAUAAUCUUGGAGCUUGGCAUCAAGCUUUAAGGAAAGGUGGCCUCUGAAAAUGCUACCGAUUAUGGAUGGACCCGCGUNUGAUUAGCUAGUUGGUGGGGUAAAGGCCUACCAAGGCGACGAUCAGUAGCCGGCCUGAGAGGGUGAACGGCCACACUGGGACUGAGACACGGCCCAGACUCCUACGGGAGGCAGCAGUGGGGAAUCUUCCGCAAUGGACGAAAGUCUGACGGAGCAACGCCGCGUGUAUGAUGAAGGUCUUCGGAUUGUAAAGUACUGUGCUUUGGGGAAGAACGGUCUUCUUGAGAAUAUUGAGGAGACAUGACGGUACCCAAGGAGGAAGCCCCGGCUAACU
This 495-nucleotide ribosomal RNA is filed under the name uncultured bacterium. Its description in RNAcentral is "bacterial SSU rRNA". It matches the Rfam family "Bacterial small subunit ribosomal RNA", at positions 39 to 502 of the family's 1533-position model. The record is from RNAcentral.